Brassica napus (rape) is the source of this 2432-nucleotide long non-coding RNA. RefSeq lists it as uncharacterized. The transcript has 8 exons. Lineage: Eukaryota; Viridiplantae; Streptophyta; Magnoliopsida; Brassicales; Brassicaceae. The record is from RefSeq and is a predicted model, not a curated record.
AAACUCAUAUACAAUUUCAUAUUAAAUUUUAAUAUAAUGCUUUGCAAUUAAAUUUUUGAUCCUUAACCAAUAAUUUAUUCAAUUUAGAACUUUGUAUCACAUGAUUAAAAAUAUGCCAUCAUUGACAAUUUAAAACAAAUAAAUUAAAUUAUUGCAUGAAACUAUAAAAUUGUUAUAUUUUAAAUUCUAUAUUAAACAAUUAGUAAUAUGGUAAAUAUUAAAAUUAUAUACAAUUAAUCAUGUAAAAAUAUUUAUUUGUGUAACAAUAAAAAUAAUCACCUGCACGGUUGCGCGGGUCAAAAUCUACUUGUAACUUAAAACGACAAGUACUUGAUAGUCAUCUUAUGAAGUAAACAUAAUUAAUGAUUUUUAGCUAUGCAUGGCAAUCGAGUUGGCAUUGUGGAGCGAGUAAGUGUUCGAUAACAUCUAAAACUAUUGUAAAACUACUACUUUUUUUUGCUGUUAUUGUAAAACUAAUUUUAAAUCAGUACAUCUAUACAUUGCGCUAGUUUUGUGAGAACGCGAAUUGUAGUUUCACUAUUUUUUGUAUAUUUUGCUAGUUUCUUUUUGAUCAUCAAAAAGUUUUGGGUCAGUGGAUCUAUACAAUCAAAUCUAAAAUCUGAGGUAAAUUGUUUAAAACCCUUGAUCUACAUCAUCACUGGGUUAAAAGACUUCUUGCAUGUUACUUUAAAAUUUGAAUGAACAACGCUUCCGAACUUUGAUAAUCUUCUGAAAUAAUCAAUAAAAAACCAUUAUAUUCGGAAGUCCAUUAAAAACACACUUAAGUAAAAAGGCCCACCUCAUUUAUAAAAAAAACAUAUAUACACCCUUCAAAAGAAAUACUUGUACAUAGGAGAAAUAUAAGAAUCCUAUUUCGACGGCCAGGAUCAUGUAGACCACUGUAAACAAGGUAGUCGUGAAACCACAUGAUCAAUGAUCUGAGUUCUUCCCCCUUCUUUUCUGUUUGAAUCCGUUUUGUAAUUCUCAAAACCAGCUAUUGAUUUUUUCAUUAUGAUCCUCAUUUUUUUUCUACUCGGGAACCGAGUCGGUGGUGCGUGGAAGCUCAUUGCGGAUCCGCCGUGACUAGCGGGGAGUUACUUUCUGAUUUUGAUCAUCAAUGGCGUCUUGGCUCAAAGCUGCCUGCCUGCCGAAGGUUGUGGAUCGAAGGGGAAAGUCUGUGGUUGAAGACCUCUCCGAGGAACAGUCUGAUUUGCACUUGCCAGCUUCUAAUAAGAAAGGGUCCCAAGCAAAGAGAUUAAAAGUUCAAAGGGAAAGGCUCGGCAGAAAGUAAAGUUGUCAAGGAAGAAUCUUCUAAUAAUAGAGAUUUUUUUGGUGAUCAAUCUCGACCAGGAGUUUCGCAGUCGGAGGUGCCUACCUCUAGAGAUUCAACCGACUGAUACAGAUGUUCAGAGUGUUCUGUCACUUCCACAGUCUGUGGCAGACACAAAAAGUGAAGAUGCUGCUGUGGUAGCUAUUGGUUCUGUUGCGCUGCUGAGCCAACUCCAAAUGACAAGCAAGCUGAUGGAGCUGUUCCAAAUGACACUUUGGUGCAACCGUUGCAACCGCAAACCUGGUUGAUGCUCAGAAUAUUUUUUAAAAGAGAUUUGGAUAAAUGGAAUCUGUGGUGCAUGUUUCUCCUUUAGGCCAAGGAACUGUGAUUCAAAGCACAGGAAAUGAGGCGUAAGAGAAAGUUGGUAUCUCAGUCAAUUUGGAUAAAGAACAUAGGAACAUAAUACCUCCACCAAUACAAAUUCCAUGAAGAUUCAACAUCAGCUUGAAGAGGCUCAGGGGUUGUUAAAAGCUACGGUUUUCUUUGGGCAGUCAAAAGAAGCUAGGUUAAGCUCAAAUAUCCUUUGUGCAUCAAAUGGGUGAUUAAACACUCUUUUAUCUGUCCGAUAGAAUUAAUUCAUGCUAGUGUUUGGACGUUACCAAUUUCAGAUAUAUGCUUCAUUUGUUUGUCCUCAUAUACAUCUAGGUUUGUGCUGGACUGUCUGCAAAAGAUUAAGGAAGAAAAUGCACAGUUGGAAGAGUCUCUCACUGCAGAGCAAGAGCUGACCAAGUCAUAUGAAGCUAGCAUUAGAUAGUUACAAAAAUAUUUAUCAUCUUCUAAAAGAAAAGUGUCGAAAGUAGAGUCAAGCAUGGUUGAGGCACUAGCAGCUACGAACUCAGAGGUAGAAAGAAGCACUUGUCAGCACAAUGGAUGCCUUGAAAAACCAGGCUGCUCUGAACGAAGGAAAAUUGUCGUCCCUUCAGGUGGAAUGUACAUCUCUGGAUCAAGAGUUGCAAGAUAUGGAAGUUCGUGCUCGCAGAGGGCAAACGAAAUCUCCGGAUGAACCAAACCAAGUGACACAUAUUCAAGCAUGGCAGGGUGAAGUGGACAGUGCUCGACAAGCUCAGAGAGAUGCCGAGAAGAAACUUGCUUCAAUGGAGGC